GGUUAAGCGACUAAGCGUACACGGUGGAUGCCCUGGCAGUCAGAGGCGAUGAAGGACGUGCUAAUCUGCGAUAAGCGUCGGUAAGGUGAUAUGAACCGUUAUAACCGGCGAUUUCCGAAUGGGGAAACCCAGUGUGUUUCGACACACUAUCAUUAACUGAAUCCAUAGGUUAAUGAGGCGAACCGGGGGAACUGAAACAUCUAAGUACCCCGAGGAAAAGAAAUCAACCGAGAUUCCCCCAGUAGCGGCGAGCGAACGGGGAGCAGCCCAGAGCCUGAAUCAGUAUGUGUGUUAGUGGAAGCGUCUGGAAAGGCGCGCGAUACAGGGUGACAGCCCCGUACACAAAAAUGCACAUGCUGUGAGCUCGAUGAGUAGGGCGGGACACGUGGUAUCCUGUCUGAAUAUGGGGGGACCAUCCUCCAAGGCUAAAUACUCCUGACUGACCGAUAGUGAACCAGUACCGUGAGGGAAAGGCGAAAAGAACCCCGGCGAGGGGAGUGAAAAAGAACCUGAAACCGUGUACGUACAAGCAGUGGGAGCACGCUUAGGCGUGUGACUGCGUACCUUUUGUAUAAUGGGUCAGCGACUUAUAUUCUGUAGCAAGGUUAACCGAAUAGGGGAGCCGAAGGGAAACCGAGUCUUAACUGGGCGUUAAGUUGCAGGGUAUAGACCCGAAACCCGGUGAUCUAGCCAUGGGCAGGUUGAAGGUUGGGUAACACUAACUGGAGGACCGAACCGACUAAUGUUGAAAAAUUAGCGGAUGACUUGUGGCUGGGGGUGAAAGGCCAAUCAAACCGGGAGAUAGCUGGUUCUCCCCGAAAGCUAUUUAGGUAGCGCCUCGUGAAUUCAUCUCCGGGGGUAGAGCACUGUUUCGGCAAGGGGGUCAUCCCGACUUACCAACCCGAUGCAAACUGCGAAUACCGGAGAAUGUUAUCACGGGAGACACACGGCGGGUGCUAACGUCCGUCGUGAAGAGGGAAACAACCCAGACCGCCAGCUAAGGUCCCAAAGUCAUGGUUAAGUGGGAAACGAUGUGGGAAGGCCCAGACAGCCAGGAUGUUGGCUUAGAAGCAGCCAUCAUUUAAAGAAAGCGUAAUAGCUCACUGGUCGAGUCGGCCUGCGCGGAAGAUGUAACGGGGCUAAACCAUG
Molecule: ribosomal RNA, 1149 nt
Filed under: Escherichia coli
Lineage: Bacteria; Pseudomonadati; Pseudomonadota; Gammaproteobacteria; Enterobacterales; Enterobacteriaceae
Description: partial 23S ribosomal RNA
Rfam family: Bacterial large subunit ribosomal RNA
Source: RNAcentral